AAAAAUUUAGGUGUUGGACUCCCCUUCGGCUUCACAUGGCCAGCCCUAAUUUCUUAAUCCAAACCUAAUCACACACAAAUACACAAUCACGCUGCCUACAAUAGAUUUGGUCAUCUGCUGUGCUGCUUGCCGACAACAAAUUGCUGCUCUUCGUCUUCGUCUUCGUCUUCGUCCUCAUCCCCGAUCUCUAGCUUGCUGGCUAUUCCCAUUUCCUUUUGUUUCGCAACUUAAUGGUUGUUGCCGGUAGCCUGCUACCUUCUUCAACUCCGAGCUAUAGCUAAUGCCUUCUUAAUUUAGAUUUUCUUCAAGUUCGAGUUGCUGCUACUGUAUUCUUUUGUGAGAGGUAAGCUGAUGGGUUCUUUCAUUUGUACACUAGGGUUUGGGGUUCUCUGAUCAGAAUAUAUCGGCUGGUCUGGUGAUUGCUCAACCGCCGUCGAUUUUUGAGGUGCCGCCCAGGUUGAGCCCCGCAAUUCUACUUGACUCGCUAAAUUUCAGUUUGUUUUCGCCUACACAGGUAAUUCAAUUUAACUUUGUCUGACCUAAAGUUUCUUCAUUUAUUCAUUAGAUUUUAGCUUGUUUAGGAAAGCUUUCAUUUUUAUUGGGUUUCGCAUUUAAAUUCUAAUAAUCCUUGGGUUUGAAUUUUGAUUUUUUUUUUUUUGGAGGGAUGGAAAAUUUUCUUCAUUGCCUUGAUUUGUUAGCAGUCGGUUGGAAUUUUGAAUUAGAGCUUGCUGAAGCAUUUAUUAUAGAAUUUAUAAAUGUGCCCUGUAAUUGGGAUAAAAACUCUUGACUUAAUUAAUCUGACAGAAGAACAUUUUGAGCAAUGUUGUAAUGUGAUUGUGCAUUGCUGAGAUAAUCUCAUCUUGUUUUGGUAUUCUAACCAAUAAAAAAAAAUUUAAGUGUUGGACUCCCCUUCGGCUUCACAUGGCAAGCCCUAAUUUCUUAAUCCAAACCUAAUCACACACAAAUACACAAUCACGCUGCCUACAAUAGAUUUGGUCAUCUGCUGUGCUGCUUGCCGACAACAAAUUGCUGCUCUUCGUCUUCGUCUUCGUCUUCGUCCUCAUCCCCGAUCUCUAGCUUGCUGGCUAUUCCCAUUUCCUUUUGUUUCGCAACUUAAUGGUUGUUGCCGGUAGCCUGCUACCUUCUUCAACUCCGAGCUAUAGCUAAUGCCUUCUUAAUUUAGAUUUUCUUCAAGUUCGAGUUGCUGCUACUGUAUUCUUUUGUGAGAGGUAAGCUGAUGGGUUCUUUCAUUUGUACACUAGGGUUUGGGGUUCUCUGAUCAGAAUAUAUCGGCUGGUCUGGUGAUUGCUCAACCGCCGUCGAUUUUUGAGGUGCCGCCCAGGUUGAGCCCCGCAAUUCUGCUUGACUCGCUAAAUUUCAGUUUGUUUUCGCCUACACAGGUAAUUCAAUUUAACUUUGUCUGACCUAAAGUUUCUUCAUUUAUUCAUUAGAUUUUAGCUUGUUUAGGAAAGCUUUCAUUUUUAUUGGGUUUCGCAUUUAAAUGCUAAUAAUCCUUGGGUUUGAAUUUUGAUUUUUUUUUUUUUGGAGGGAUGGAAAAUUUUCUUCAUUGCCUUGAUUUGUUAGCAGUCGGUUGGAAUUUUGAAUUAGAGCUUGCUGAAGCAUUUAUUAUAGAAUUUAUAAAUGUGCCCUGUAAUUGGGAUAAAAACUCUUGACUUAAUUAAUCUGACAGAAGAACAUUUUGAGCAAUGUUGUAAUGUGAUUGUGCAUUGCUGAGAUAAUCUCAUCUUGUUUUGGUAUUCUAAGUAUCCAAAUGGACUGGAUAGUAGGCUAUCCAGGUCAAGUUUUAAUGGUAAUUGGGCAUUUUUCUUUCCUGAUUUUAGUUUCAUCUCUUUUUAGAUGAAGCAUAUGGUUAAUGCAAACAAUUAACGAAAGAAAAGCUCUUGGUAUUACUAGUGUUGGAGAUCCAAUUGUCUUCAUGUAAACUGUGAACACUUUUAACUCCCAUAUCUAAGAUAUAGAGAUCUUUAUGUAGCUUUAAGCCAAAUAUGUGAGAAAUUCUCCAAUCUAGUCACAACUUUAUUAGCAACCAAGAAUGAAAGAGUAUUAGCUUCCAGUUAUAAUUUGAUGACCGGAGCUUGAAUGAGUGAGUGAUAACUUGUAUUGUCUAUAUUGCUUUGUAUGUCAUGCCUCACUGGCAUUAUGUUACUUGGGUAUCCAAAUUUUGCGUUUAUCUAUUACUAAUUUCCCUGAUUCAUUGGAUGCAACCUAGGGAGCCUUUAGAAUGAAGCACUAGCAGGCCCUAGCACAGGUCACUGCCCAAGCUGACAAUUGUAGAGAGGGAAAACAGAGACAAAAGGUUGUAAAACACGUUAAAGAGACAAAAGGAUAUAUAUGUAACAAAAAUAUCUAUUAAAAUUAGGUUCAGGGAGUAUUUGGAUGGAUUUUCUUUCUUUUGAUGUAACUGUGACCAAAAAGGGGUUUUAUUUGCAUUGUAAGUGGAGGUGUUAAUAGCAGCACUAUUUUUAUAUUUGACAACAGAAUACACAUUAACACUAUAUAUAGUGGAACCUCGAUAAAUUAAUAACAUUGAUUAAAUAAUAGUUUUCGCCAACUCAGACGUGGGCCCAACUUAGUAAAUUAAUAAUUCAAUAAAUUUAUUAAACAAUAAUUGUUGUAGAAAAGUAAGAAAUCUUAUUUUUCUAUAGGACUCAACUAAACAUAAAUUAAUAAUUAACCAAUUUAGAAUUAAACACAUAUGAUAUGUUUAAGAUUUUCUUUGUUGUACUAGCAUAAUGAUUUAUGCAUUCCAUUGGUUAUUGUUAUUUCUCUACAACUUUUAGAAGAGAAGCCAGUGUUGUAUUCUAUGUGAUAGGUUAAGAGAAACAAGAGAAAAAUUGACUUAAUAUAUUGUCUCAAAAAAGUCUUCUUUGAUGUGUUAUCAUCUAAUUGUGAUGCAACCAUGCAAUCUAGCAAAAGAAUUAUCAAGUCAUUGAUUUACUCAAUUAAAAUCAAACUAGAAUCAUAUUAUACAGCUUGAUAGAAUCUCUAUAUUCUUUAAUUACACUACAACAAAAACAGUGUAUGAUAGCAUCUGAAAAAUGCUACCAAAUUAAAGUGAAUGGUAGCAUUUUGAACAAUGCUAAGUUAGCCGGUGUAACUAAAAGUAUUACACAUUAGUAGCAUUUUUUACAUGCCACAAAUUAUGAUACAUAGCAUUCUGCUGUACCGUACAUCCGCCUUGGCCGUACAGCAGCAUUAAUUGCACUUGGUUUUAUAUUUCUCUUUACUAUGUACUAUGUUGCAAAAUAUUUUGUUUAUACUUAAUCUUUUAUAAUCCAGCAACUCUUAUGAAGACCUAGUCAACUGUCACUGCUACAUAAGCAUUCAGGUUAUACUGCUUUAUCAUCAUUUUUAUUUUCUUCCCUUUUUCUCUUUUACAGCUUGUGAGCUUACUGCUUCAUUAUGUCAAUUGUCGAAUGUGAUUUUCUAUUUUCUCUUGGGUUGUUUAUUCUCAUUUUCCCUUUAGUAUCAAAGCUGAUUAAAUCAAUUAGACACUGAUGAAUUUUAUUAUGAAUUUGAUUAAUUGUAAGUGGGCAAUAUAUUAAUAUGUAUUUUUUGGGCACUCAUUUUAUUGUAACCUAUGUUUCAGGUGAUGUUGGUGGCUUUCGGGAAUUUACUAAGAGUGUUUUUUUUAUGGAUUAAUUGUUUUUCUAGUGAUGUGUUGGUGAUUGGAUAUUGAUAAAGGAUUUAUGAGAUAUUGUAAAGGAUUUGAUUCACCAUAUAUUUUGUGAUGCUAUUUGUUGGAAGUUUCAAGUGAUUGAAAUUUUUAGCGCAUCACACUAUUUGGUAUUUGAUAGUUUUUAUGAAUUUGAAUGUAAUUUUUAUUUCAAUUAAUUCAAGUUUUAAAUGUGGUUUUUGUUGUUUUUA
This 3888-nucleotide long non-coding RNA is filed under the name Citrus sinensis (sweet orange). Its description in RNAcentral is "long non-coding RNA (CSIN_LNC002173)". Lineage: Eukaryota; Viridiplantae; Streptophyta; Magnoliopsida; Sapindales; Rutaceae. The record is from RNAcentral.